RNAcentral lists this ribosomal RNA (606 nucleotides) under uncultured bacterium. RNAcentral describes it as "bacterial SSU rRNA". It matches the Rfam family "Bacterial small subunit ribosomal RNA", at positions 65 to 719 of the family's 1533-position model. The record is from RNAcentral.
AGCGCCCCGCAAGGGGAGCGGCAGACGGGAGAGUAACACGUGGGAACGUACCCUUCGGUUCGGAACAACCCAGGGAAACUUGGGCUAAUACCGGAUACGUCCGUAAGGAGAAAGAUUCAUCGCCGAAGGAUCGGCCCGCGUCUGAUUAGCUAGUUGGUGGGGUAACGGCUCACCAAGGCGACGAUCAGUAGCUGGUCUGAGAGGAUGAUCAGCCUCACUGGGACUGAGACACGGCCCAGACUCCUACGGGAGGCAGCAGUGGGGAAUAUUGGACAAUGGGCGCAAGCCUGAUCCAGCCAUGCCGCGUGGGUGAUGAAGGCCCUAGGGUUGUAAAGCCCUUUCGGCGGGGAAGAUAAUGACGGUACCCGCAGAAGAAGCCCCGGCUAACUUCGUGCCAGCAGCCGCGGUAAUACGAAGGGGGCUAGCGUUGCUCGGAAUCACUGGGCGUAAAGCGCACGUAGGCGGAUUGUUAAGUCAGGGGUGAAAUCCUGGAGCUCAACUCCAGAACUGCCUUUGAUACUGGCGAUCUUGAGUCCGGGAGAGGUGAGUGGAACUGCGAGUGUAGAGGUGAAAUUCGUAGAUAUUCGCAAGAACACCAGUGGCGAA